CAAUCCUUUUCAUAAUAAAAGAAAAGGAACCAUAUUACAGUGAUCAAAUUCAUAAGGAAUUUUCACAUUUGUCUGACUCAAGAUAUGAAACUUAUCUCUGAAAGGGGCAAACAGAGAAUUCACCUUGAGGGAAAUAGUACGUGCAGCUAGGAGUUUGGGCUGUCUCCCUGAAACUUGUCUGAGAGGGUCAGCCUGUUGGGUGUUUCUGCAGGGAGGCUUGAGAGGAACUGCUGUUACCUGCUGAAUCACCCUCCCCACAUCCUGGCCCGCCUGCCUGCUCCCUGGGGGGUGUCUGCCCUUUUAGUAAAGGCCACAUUUGCUUAGAGAAAGAUGAGAUCACCACCUGCGUGAGUUUCAGGGAUGGCCAGAGAAUGGCCUCUUCAGAUGACUUGGGUCCACCCUCAGGAGUGUCAGAUGGUCUAAAAGAAAACAGAAAACGUCAGCUGUAUUCAUGGAGACAAUGACCAAGCAUGAGGUAAGGCUAUUUAUUUUGGGUCGACAUAGGCCAAGUUAAGGAGAAAGGAAACCAUUAUGUAGAUCAUUCAGCCUUUAAAACAUGCUAUGAAACAAAAUGGGUUUUUUUUAAAUGAUUCAAUAUACUUCAACAAAGUUUAUCUUAAUAAUAAAAGAUUCAUUUGCAACCA
This 644-nucleotide long non-coding RNA is filed under the name Bos indicus x Bos taurus (hybrid cattle). Its description in RNAcentral is "lncRNA (ENSBIXG00005016064.1)". The record is from RNAcentral. Lineage: Eukaryota; Metazoa; Chordata; Mammalia; Artiodactyla; Bovidae.